Molecule: long non-coding RNA, 5868 nt
Organism: Cydia pomonella (codling moth)
Lineage: Eukaryota; Metazoa; Arthropoda; Insecta; Lepidoptera; Tortricidae
Exons: 2
Source: RefSeq, a predicted model, not a curated record
CAUUAUUUGAAGAAUCUUCUUCUCUUCUUCUUCCAUCCCUUUUCCCUUUAUUUGGGGUCGGGCCACCUCACAUAUUUGCGCCAGGAUGUCCUGUCCUGGGUUGUCUGUUCUGGCAAUUGGGCUUGCUUGAGGUCUCCUUGUAUUUUUGACCACCAGGUCGUUGGUUUGCGGCCCUUCCUCUUGUUUUGCUCUUGUAAAUCUAGCGCUAUCUGUACCACAAGAUCUUUGCUGCGUCUUUUAAUAUGUUCGUACCAUCUUAAGCGGUUUUCGAUGAUUUUCUCAGUGAUUGGUGCGACUUUAAAGCUGCCUCGGAUGAAUUCGUUACGAAUUUUAUCUAGCCGAGUAACACCUCCCGCCCACCUCAGCAUCCUCAUCUCAUUGACAUUAUUUGAAGAAUAUAUGUUCCAAGUUCCAAGUUCCUAACUUGUACGGUCUUGGCCGUGCGUUCAGUCAUACAACAACGCAACAGAAAAGUGAGCAACAAAGACAAAAGAACAAAUAUAUAGCGCAACAAGAAACAGUGUCCUUAAAAUUAUAUUUAGCUUGUAAGAUUUUUAUCAUUGUAUGUAUGUUAGUCUGUAAGUAUCUAUUGCCCUUAAUUGCCUGAAAAUAAACUAUAUAGACUUUUUUGUUUUUAAAAUACUCAGGUAAAUAUUUGAAUUUCAUUACAGCCCAGAUAGUCACUCGCGAGAGAGGCCUCCGAUGGCUCCUUUACAAAGGUUUCACCUACCAGAAGCACACAUCCAAUGGCGCCAAGACUCGGUGGAGGUGCAGCCGGCAGGGAACGCACAAGUGUCGCUCUGUUAUCUUCACCAUUGAUGACGAGAUUGUUUCUGUCAGACAUGAACACACGCAUCCACCUUGUUAGGCUUGUUAACUGACAGAGUACAACGGAUACAAGUACCAGAAGCACAAUGUCGCUCCAUCCAACAUGAACAUACAAAUCUACCUUAAGAGACUCAUUCAUCAUCAUUUCAUUCACUGGUUUAUUUUCAAAUGUGCAGCUGUAAAAAUGGUCAUGACAAGAGGUUUUAACUUUACUACGCAUUAACUCGGCCUUUUAUUUGGUGUCAAUAUUGAUUAAACAAAUAUCUAUGAUCAAAAAACUUUGCAUUACCUCACAAAUCACUAUUGCUUACAUUUUGGUCAGCUUCAACAAAUCUGUAGGAUCUUCUUCUAUUUAUAAUCAUGUAAGGACAUUAUUACGAUAACUAUAUUUACGUUUCAGUCAUGUUCUUGCCAUCGAAGAAAGGCCGUCGACUUGUCAUACAAGGGUACUCAUUCUACAAGCAUACCACCGGUUAUAGAACUAGAUGGCGCUGCGCAAUGCACUUUGGUGGAUGUCGAGCGGUCGCCUUCACAAUAGGCGACGAUUUGGUUAAUGUUAAAAAUUAUCACAAUCAUAUAGCUAAUAACAGUAACAAUAGUGUCUGCAAUACCGUCAUGUCUAACACAUCGAUGUCUUCUAUUGUGUAAUAAAGAAUAUUUUUACUACAGUGUUUUAUGUUCUACGCAUAGGUAAAACGCUUUAUUAAUAUUUUUGUAAGAGGAGUAUUUUAUUGUAAUGAGUCCGGCUGUUGUAAUUAAAAGCUUACCGGUAUUGGAAUAGUAAAGCUUAACUAUUUAGUAUAUUUAUUUUAUUAGAGUUCACUUAUAUAUUUAAUAAGACUAUACUUAUUGAAUAAAGAAAUAUACUCGUAUUUUGCAUUUCUCUGCCCUAGCGAUCUCAGGACAUUCUGAGGUACCUAUUUUUUUAUUAAUGUUUAUUUUACCAUUUUUUUUUAUUAACUUUAUAGAAAUGCAAUCAGUUCAAGUGGCACUUAAAAGGCCAAAACAAUUGCACCGACUAAAGUUUAUAAAUGUAAAUUAAUUAUGGCAUGUUUAUUAUUCAUAAUAAAUGAUUUUCAGUGUUCUUCAAACGCUCGCAAAGAGGCAAUCGUCAGCUAGUGUACAACGGAUAUGCCUACAGCCCCCGACCGGUAAAGAACGGUAAAGUCAGAUGGACUUGCUCCACGCGCGGGUACGUCGGGUGCAAAGCUGUCAUUUAUACAGUCGAUGAUAUCGUGAUGACAGUGAAACAUGGCCAUAAUCAUUAGCAUUGAACGAUACAUUAAGAUUAUCCUACAAACUGUCAAAGCGGGGCAAUCGACAGCUAGUCGUCGGCGGAUACCCGUUCUCCGCGCGACCAGAAAAACACGGGAAGGUCAGAUGGUACUGCUUGACCCACGUGCCUCAAGGAUGCAAGGCAAUUAUUUACACCGUAGAGAAUAUUAUUGUGUCAAUAAGGAACGAACAUAAUCAUGAUUUUCGGAACAGUCAGUGAAGUGAGGAAGAGUGAAUGAUUAAAUUAUAACCAAUAUAACUAGCCAUAUUGUAAUUGUAUUGUAGACCAGUUUCUAAAAACAAACUACUGUAUUAAAUUAUUACGACAAAACACUGAUUCUUAAAUAAAACUAGGUCAUUUCUAUUGUACAUAAUUAAAGUACCUUACUUAGUUUCUAAGAAUUUCAGAAUCAAAUUUCAUUCAUACCAAAUAUUUCUGAACCAAGAAAUCUUGUGUCUCGUACUAUUUGGACCGACAAAGUGUUGCGUUAUUUAUGCAUUUCUUUUCUUAUUAAUUACAGUUGAAAAGAAAGUCUAUCCACUAUUUACUCGGUCUCGUAGUCCAGUAAUGGUAAAGUAAGAAUAUGACUUAGGAACUUUUGAAGAAUUCCAAAAUCUUAUUUUUAUUUCAGUCUUCUAUAAACUGUCAAAGCGGGGCAAUCGUCAGCUAGUUGUGGACGGAUACACGUUUUCCGCGCGACCCGAGAAACAUGGGAAAGUCAGAUGGUACUGCUCCACCCACGUGCCUCAGGGCUGUAAGGCCUUUAUUUACACUAUCGGGGACGAUGUGGUGUCAAUAAGGAACGACCAUAAUCAUGAGUUUCGGAAAACAGUAUGUGCUAUGAAGAUUAGUAAAGAGUUUUUAAAUCAUACCUAAUAUAACUAGCCAUAUUGUUAUUGGCCAGUGUUUUAUGAAUAAUUGUAUUUACUUUAUUGCAAUAAAACACUGACAAUGUUUUUUUUUUGUUUUUUUUUUUAAAGUAACUAUUAGUAGAGUCUGUGCGGAAAGAGAAGAGUCGUGGAAAGUAUGGGACUCAAUACAUUCCACGACUCUUCUCUUUCCGAACAGACUCUAUGCUUCCGUUUAUUAAGUUUCAUGCCGGAAAAUUAGAAAAAUCACGUUAAAACACUUCUAUUAGAUUCUAAAAUCAUAUUUUGAUUUCAGUGUCCUACAAACUGUCGAAGCGAGGUAAUCGUCAGCUAGUUAUAGACGGAUGGACGUUUUCUGCGCGACCAGCAAGGCACGGGAAAAUCCGAUGGUACUGCGCCCACCAUGCGACUCACAAGUGUAAGGCCUACUUGUAUACCAUAGAUGAUGAGGUUGUCAGAUGUGAUAAUGUGCAUAAUCAUUCACGCCCUACGGAUAAUCCCAGUGACAGUUCCUCCUCUUCGCUUAUGAAUAGACUUAAUUAAAAAAAGAAUUGAAGAAAUAUGUUCUUAACUUAUUUUUAUGACUUAAAUGUUGACCCGGGUAUGUCCUUAAACUACGUCCAAAAGAGAGGUAUGGGCAAUGUGAAUGUCAUCUCGCCUUAUGUGGUAGGGCACAGCACAGCAGAUGCCAUUCCAGAUCUAGAGCAGAGCCCAACUGGGGAAGUACCUCCACCUUACAGAAAACCGCAGCCAAAUAACACUUGACCCUACUCAUAGUGUUGUGUUCCUGCCGGUGAGCAAGGUUGCCAGAGCUCAACGAGGGGGGUGGGGUUAGGGUCGGCAACGCGCAUGUAACCCCUCUGGAGUUGCAGGUGUACAUAGGCUAUGGAGACUGCUUACCAUCAGGCAGGCCGUAUGCUUGUUUGCCAACGACGUAGUAUAAAAAAAAUGUUAUAAAUUACUUCCAAAAAUGUUGUAUGUGACAGUUGCUCCAAAAUUAACUGUCAUCGGGAUCAUCACUGGGAGCGCGAGUUAUAAGAAGAAGUAUGCUGCUUAAUAUGAGAUGUGUUGUUAUGAAUGAACAAUUAUCAGAUUGUAAUGUACGAUGUAUAUGUUUCGGGUAACGUUAAAACGUUAAUUAAACUCAAGUUUACCCUGGUAUAACUAGUAUUACCCGAGCAUUUUCGGUAAAGUCGGAAAAUUUAAACAACAUUAAUAUCUGUAUUCGGCGUUUACCCGUACACAUCUGGGUCUAGCCAACACUGGCUGGGUACGAUACUUAAAUACACCUACGUUUAUGUUAUAGAUUAUUAUUUUAUUUUGUAAGUGUAAACGUAAAUUCGUCCAUAGCACAAGUUCUCCGCGUGACCAGCAUAACAUGGGAAAGUUUGAUGUACUACACGCUCGAUGUACAACUCAUAAGUGCAAAACACACUUAAAUACCGUAAAUUUUUCGUACUAAAGGAUCAUAGUAGUUACCAUGGUAAGAGUGAUUCUCUGAGAAUAUGUCUCCGGUUAUGCUAAAUUAGGAAUGUUCAUUAGAAAUUUAAUGAUAUAUUAAAUAUGUUAAAAACGGAUCACUCUCGUAUUUUAAGUCGAAAACGCUCGAUAUGUUUCGCUUCGUACCGACUUCGAUUUCGACUUAAAAUGCGUGAGUGACCCGUUUUUAACAUAUUUAAAAUGUUUGUGUCUCACGGAAGUUCUGUUAUUAACAUUUUAUUAUAAUAAAAAACCUACGACGUCCAUAUCCUUUGCCAGAACAGACCGGCUCAUUCGUAGGCCAAAGAAUAAGCAUCGCCAUUCAACGAGGGAAGGUAACCAGCCUUAUGGGCACCCUUUCAAAGGUGUAAAUUAUAGAUUACAUUAGUAAGGGAUAAGUUAAACUUUAUAUUAUGACGUCAUUAUUGUUAGUCUCCAGACGUUGGUGUGGAGAUUGACACCAGAUACCGAGUUACAGUUGUCAGGAAUAUAAAUAAUAUCCAUUUCAAAAUGUGUUUUGACUGUUUUUAAACCCGUUUAUUUAAAUUUCCCCCUUGAGUGAUUUCUCAUUAAAAUUCCCUAUUUCACGUGUUUUAUUUUAAUACAUAUUUAGACUUAUUGAAAAUAUAGCAAUAAUAACAAAUUGCUCGAAUAUUCACCCAAUAACACAACAUACAUAUGAAAGUAAAUGCUUACAUCAAUCUUAAACUAAGUAAGUAUCUUACAAUCCAAUUCUUGCUUCCAUUUAGUCUUAAUUAUUGCUCACUUAUUUCUAGUAUUUAAUCGUUACAGUACAGUUCAUAAUGUCAGGAAGAGGCAAGCGUCAACUAGUAUUCGAUGGGUUCACCUACUACGCGAAACCCCGCGACGGCGCCCAUAAGCUACGAUGGUGUUGCUCGACCCACCAACGACGACAUGGUUGCAGGGCCGAGAUUUAUACUUACAAGGACGUGAUAAUUUCGGUGAAAGGACCGCAUAAUCACGAGGCUCGUUAUCCGAAAUUAGAGAACUGGACGAUAUAGGACGGAUUAGGUAUUUGAGCCGAAUGCAAUACCUAUACUUAUCGCGUCAAAUGAUGGUCUCUAUGAUACUUAGUAUUUAUAUGGAGUAGCGAAAAUGUUUGAAGAUAUUUUUGAAAGUUUAGCACAUUAAUUUAUUUGGCACCAUAACAGAUAAUAACAAUAUGGUAAAUACAUAUACAUAAUUACUUUUUAAUUAAACCCAGCCAAAUGGGAACUGAAAGAACUGUCAUAGAGACCACCAGAUGUUUUCUGGCUAGAUGUAAUAUAUAGUGCCUUUCAAAUAUAAAUUAUACAGGUUAAAUCGACGCAUACGCUUAUUGGCUUAUGCCCGUAUAGAUAUUAAAUAUAGGUACUUUUAAUCCGUUGGUUUCGAAAUACACCACUUUUGAAUUAA